This is a long non-coding RNA of Pezoporus flaviventris, 1142 nucleotides long. RefSeq lists it as uncharacterized. The record is from RefSeq and is a predicted model, not a curated record. Lineage: Eukaryota; Metazoa; Chordata; Aves; Psittaciformes; Psittacidae. The transcript is spliced from 3 exons.
GGUGAGUCUGCUCACCCUGCUGGCAGGCGAGUAGCAGAGCCAGCUCAGCAUGUAGAUUCCAGGUGGAGAGGGAUCCUAUAGCCAACAGUGGAUGAAUAAAACCAGGGAGAUAAAAGUGUAUGUGUCAAGUCUCCCAGGGGCCUUACUGGAGUUAAACUAGCUGGGGAAAAGAAAUAUGUUAGACUUCACAUACAAGCCUCCACUUCUGGAGUCCCUUAUUACUUUUUGUUGGUGUAUGGGAAAGGCUGGUAUGGGUUUGGGAUAGAAGGAGCUGCAUCUGUUUUGUGUGGGACCUUGGCAGCUUCUGUUGUCUAAAGUGGUUGUGCAUAGUUCAGUCGUCUUUCCAACUUCUAAAAAGCAAUAGUUGCAAAACAGAGCCCUGGAAUUGUUUUGCAGCAACCAAAUAAUCUCAUGGUGGAGUUACUGCCUUUUCAUCAUCCUGUGCUCUUUCCCCAUAUUUACAGGGUGUGCUUGUAGAUGAGAGACGAGCCGUAAAUGUCUAAGAAAAAAGCCUGCUUUAAUUACAGGCAAGAAUUCUAAUUUGUAGUGGGCAGUAGCAUCAUGAGCACCACUCUUGCAUCUAAAUUAAUACUUGUUUCACAGCUAUGACAAGUGCAAAGGUCACAAGCAUAGCAGGAGGACCCUUUUUGUUCUCAUCCUCCCAGAUGUGGGUUCAGGUACAUUAGCUACACCGUGUUUGUUACAGAAAGUAAUUCCUUCUCAAAGUGAACCUUCUACUGUAAACCAUACAUAAGGUGCCUGGACCCAACUUUUAGGAGUUUCUGUAAAGUCUAAACAGAAGGUCUAAGAAAACUUCCUCAGAGGGGUAUGGUUGAAGUUUGGCAGAAUGAACCUCUGUCCUGGCAGUGGUGUAGGCUCACUUGGCUGCCAAAUGCUGACUCUGACACUGCUUGAAAUUCCGAAGUGAGAUGUAUUAAUGUCUGGAAGCCAGAAAGCAAAACCUGAAGUCAUCCAUUAAAUAGGAAAUUCAGUCAGAACAAAAGGGCACUAUAAAAGCAGAAUGGCACAUUGCUGUUAAAUCAUUCCAUCUGCCCACAACUUGUCUCAUUUCAUUUCCUAACAUAUCAUUUAAAGUGUCUACUUUUGCACUCCAUCUUUCCCUUUUGUCACAGCCUGUGUGA